GGGCUUACACAUGCAAGUCGAACGAGAACGGAUUAUAGCUUGCUAUAAUUGUCAGCUGAGUGGCGCACGGGUGAGUAAUAUAUAGGUAACGUGCCCUAGAGAAGAGGAUAACAGUUGGAAACGAUUGCUAAGACUCUAUAUGCCUUUAAGACUUAAGUCUGCAAGGGAAAUAUUUAUAGCUCUAGGAUCGGCCUGUACAGUAUCAGUUAGUUGGUGAGGUAAUGGCUCACCAAGACAAUGACGCUUAACUGGUUUGAGAGGAUGAUCAGUCACACUGGAACUGAGACACGGUCCAGACUCCUACGGGAGGCAGCAGUGGAGAAUAUUGCACAAUGGACGAAAGUCUGAUGCAGCAACGCCGCGUGGAGGAUGACACAUUUCGGUGCGUAAACUCCUUUUAUAUGGGAAGAUAAUGACGGUACCAUAUGAAUAAGCACCGGCUAACUCCGUGCCAGCAGCCGCGGUAAUACGGAGGGUGCAAGCGUUACUCGGAAUCACUGGGCGUAAAGAGCGUGUAGGCGGGUAAUUAAGUCAGAAGUGAAAUCCAAUAGCUCAACUAUUGAACUGCUUUUGAAACUGAUUACCUAGAAUAUGGGAGAGGUAGAUGGAAUUUCUGGUGUAGGGGUAAAAUCCGUAGAGAUCAGAAGGAAUACCGAUUGCGAAGGCGAUCUACUGGAACAUUAUUGACGCUGAGACGCGAAAGCGUGGGGAGCAAACAGGAUUAGAUACCCUGGUAGUCCACGCCCUAAACGAUGUACACUAGUUGUUGUGAGGCUCGACCUUGCAGUAAUGCAGUUAACACAUUAAGUGUACCGCCUGGGGAGUACGGUCGCAAGAUUAAAACUCAAAGGAAUAGACGGGGACCCGCACAAGCGGUGGAGCAUGUGGUUUAAUUCGACGAUACACGAAGAACCUUACCUGGACUUGACAUAGUAAGAACUUUCUAGAGAUAGAUUGGUGUCUGCUUGCAGAAACUUAUAUACAGGUGCUGCACGGCUGUCGUCAGCUCGUGUCGUGAGAUUGGUAAGUCCCGCAACGAGCGCAACCCUCGUCAUCUACAGUUCGGCUGAAACUCUACUCACGCAGGGAAGGUGAGACGACGAUCAUCAUGUACGCCGCCACCGCUAACAAAUUGGAGGGUUUAUU
RNAcentral lists this ribosomal RNA (1146 nucleotides) under uncultured Arcobacter sp. Its description in RNAcentral is "bacterial SSU rRNA". It matches the Rfam family "Bacterial small subunit ribosomal RNA", at positions 45 to 1153 of the family's 1533-position model. Lineage: Bacteria; Pseudomonadati; Campylobacterota; Epsilonproteobacteria; Campylobacterales; Arcobacteraceae. The record is from RNAcentral.